RNAcentral lists this transfer RNA (79 nucleotides) under Nocardia colli. RNAcentral's name for it is "Nocardia sp. CICC 11023 tRNA-Phe". It matches the Rfam family "tRNA". Rfam says of the family: Transfer RNA (tRNA) molecules are approximately 80 nucleotides in length. Their secondary structure includes four short double-helical elements and three loops (D, anti-codon, and T loops). Further hydrogen bonds mediate the characteristic L-shaped molecular structure. tRNAs have two regions of fundamental functional importance: the anti-codon, which is responsible for specific mRNA codon recognition, and the 3' end, to which the tRNAs corresponding amino acid is attached (by aminoacyl-tRNA synthetases). tRNAs cope with the degeneracy of the genetic code in two manners: having more than one tRNA (with a specific anti-codon) for a particular amino acid; and 'wobble' base-pairing, i.e. permitting non-standard base-pairing at the 3rd anti-codon position. Lineage: Bacteria; Bacillati; Actinomycetota; Actinomycetes; Mycobacteriales; Nocardiaceae. The record is from RNAcentral.
GGAAGCGCGCCUUGUGGAAAGGGGUCAGUUAAACGCUGACUGGGCAUUGCCCAUGCAGGUUCGAAUCCUGUCGCUUCCG